AGCGAACGCUGGCGGCAGGCUUAACACAUGCAAGUCGAGCGGGCAUCCUUGUGGUGUCAGCGGCAGACGGGUGAGUAACGAGUGGGAACGUGCCCUUCGGUUAGGAAUAACUCAGGGAAACUUGAGCUAAUACCGGAUACGUGCGAGAGCAGAAAGGCUUAUCUGCCGAGGGAUCGGCCCGCGUCUGAUUAGCUAGUUGGGCGGGUUACGGCGCACAAAGGCGAAGUUCAGUAGCUGGUGUGAGAGGAGGGACAGCCACACUGGGACUGAGCCAGGCCCCAGUGUCCAAUGUGGGGCAGCGGGGGGGAGUCUGGGGCAGCGGCGCCAAGCCUGAUACGGCCAUGCUCGGGUUGUAAUCCCGGUCUGAGGGUGAAAAAGCCCUUUUCCCUGUGAGUGUAUUGACGGUACCGGGGGAAGAAGCCCCGGCUAACUACGUG
RNAcentral lists this ribosomal RNA (437 nucleotides) under uncultured bacterium. Its description in RNAcentral is "partial 16S ribosomal RNA". It matches the Rfam family "Bacterial small subunit ribosomal RNA", at positions 30 to 507 of the family's 1533-position model. The record is from RNAcentral.